Molecule: long non-coding RNA, 834 nt
Organism: Loxodonta africana (African savanna elephant)
Lineage: Eukaryota; Metazoa; Chordata; Mammalia; Proboscidea; Elephantidae
Exons: 3
Source: RefSeq, a predicted model, not a curated record
UUUUUUUUUAACUAAUUAAGCUAAACUAUUACUCAGUUUUAAGAUGAUUUCAGGGGUUAUAUCUGGUUUAAGAUUUAAAGAUUAUCUCAGGACAAUAGUUUCAUCUACCCUCCAUGGAUCCUCAAAGUCUGGAGUUCAUGAGAAUUUUAAAUUAUAUUCUCUAUUUUCCCCUUUUUGAUCAGGGUUCUUCCAUGGAAUCUUUGAUCAAAAUAUUCAGUAUUGGUAGUGGGGCACCAUCCAGUUCUUAUGGUCACAUUGCAAAGGAGCAGCUGUUCAUGGAGACAAUAAGCCACACAGUCCAUGUCCUCUUCCUGUUCCUGACUCUCCUUCCUCUGUUGCUCCAGCUAUCCCUGAGAGACAGAUAUUACCAUUGGCCACAAUUCGCAGAUGAGAAAACCAGGAGUUAGAAACACAAGUAACUUUUUCAAGGAUCUCAUAUAGCUGUUAUGUGAUAGAGACUGGAGGAUUGGAACCUGGGCAUCCUGGCUCCACAGCUCAUCUUUACUGAGAUACAAUUUGCAUACUAUAAGAUUCAUCUGUUUCAAGUGUACAUUUUGGUAAGUUUUAGUAUAUUCAUAGAGUUGUGCAUCCAUCACCACUAUCUAAUUUCAGAACAAUUUCAUUACCCCAGAUAGAGAUCUGGUACCUAUUAGCAGUCACUAUCUAUCCCCUCCACCCUUCCACUUUAGCCGUAGGCAAGCAAUAAUCUAUAUUCCAUCUCUAUACAUUUGCCUAUACUGGACAUUUCAUAUACAUGGAAACAUAUAAUCUGUGACUUUUUGUGUCUGACUUCUUUCACUUAGCAUAAUGUUUUCAAGGUUCAUCCGUGUUGUA